UCCAUCUUGAGUAAAUCAGUCAGUGGC
This 27-nucleotide small RNA is filed under the name Bombyx mori (domestic silkworm). Its description in RNAcentral is "ovarian small RNA-26975". Lineage: Eukaryota; Metazoa; Arthropoda; Insecta; Lepidoptera; Bombycidae. The record is from RNAcentral.